AAAUUGAAGAGUUUGAUCAUGGCUCAGAUUGAACGCUGGCGGCAGGCCUAACACAUGCAAGUCGAACGGUAACAGGAAGCAGCUUGCUGCUUUGCUGACGAGUGGCGGACGGGUGAGUAAUGUCUGGGAAACUGCCUGAUGGAGGGGGAUAACUACUGGAAACGGUGGCUAAUACCGCAUAACGUCGCAAGACCAAAGAGGGGGACCUUCGGGCCUCUUGCCAUCAGAUGUGCCCAGAUGGGAUUAGCUUGUUGGUGAGGUAACGGCUCACCAAGGCGACGAUCCCUAGCUGGUCUGAGAGGAUGACCAGCCACACUGGAACUGAGACACGGUCCAGACUCCUACGGGAGGCAGCAGUGGGGAAUAUUGCACAAUGGGCGCAAGCCUGAUGCAGCCAUGCCGCGUGUAUGAAGAAGGCCUUCGGGUUGUAAAGUACUUUCAGCGGGGAGGAAGGUGUUGCGGUUAAUAACCGCAGCAAUUGACGUUACCCGCAGAAGAAGCACCGGCUAACUCCGUGCCAGCAGCCGCGGUAAUACGGAGGGUGCAAGCGUUAAUCGGAAUUACUGGGCGUAAAGCGCACGCAGGCGGUCUGUCAAGUCGGAUGUGAAAUCCCCGGGCUCAACCUGGGAACUGCAUUCGAAACUGGCAGGCUUGAGUCUUGUAGAGGGGGGUAGAAUUCCAGGUGUAGCGGUGAAAUGCGUAGAGAUCUGGAGGAAUACCGGUGGCGAAGGC
RNAcentral lists this ribosomal RNA (732 nucleotides) under Salmonella enterica. RNAcentral's name for it is "bacterial SSU rRNA". It matches the Rfam family "Bacterial small subunit ribosomal RNA", at positions 1 to 722 of the family's 1533-position model. The record is from RNAcentral. Lineage: Bacteria; Pseudomonadati; Pseudomonadota; Gammaproteobacteria; Enterobacterales; Enterobacteriaceae. RNAcentral also lists the same sequence under 1 other name.